Molecule: RNA transcript, 1131 nt
Organism: Zea mays
Lineage: Eukaryota; Viridiplantae; Streptophyta; Magnoliopsida; Poales; Poaceae
Gene name: kinesin-like protein KIN-12F
Exons: 8
Source: RefSeq, a predicted model, not a curated record
UGGGAAAGCAAGGAGAUAUAUGGAAGAUGGAAUGGUUGAUUUAGCUGAUUCAUCUAGGCACCCAAUAGAUAUGCAUAAUGAGCUCCUCUGUGCUCAAGAGACUAUUAGAAUACUUAGAAGGGAGGUUUCUGAGAAGGAAUCAGAGAUUGCUCAGUGCAAUGCACAUAUCUCAGAGCUAAACGUUCAUGUUGAGGCAGUGGCACAAGAAUACAAGCACAAGAUGAAUUCUAAGAAAGAUGAAGAGCUUAGUGCUGCGAAACAACGUAUUGUGGAACUCGAGGGCAUAGCAGCUAGGAGACAAAGGGAGGUGAGGUUAUUCUUAAUUUUUCACUUCUUUUUGCCUACCUUUUUUUUUAUUUUUCCAACUUAUAUUUUUUGUUAUUUUGUUUGAGGAUAUUCAUGUUGAAUGCGAAAUUAGCACCAGUAGAGAGCAUGGCGCCCAUAUGGGGUUCGAGAUAUGCUUGGGGUUAAAAUAAACAUGACAACUUGGACGCUGUAGACUGACCCUAGAGCAUCUAUCAAAGGAACCAGACAGCGAUCAUGAGUUUAGGAGGCAACGGAGGGCAAUAACAAGGACUCAUCUGACACACAAGUUAAACUGAAGUUCCAACAGGUCUUGCAUCUUAUGGCUUCACAUUCGCCAUUUAUGUUUCAUCUAUACAUCAAGGUAUUGUAGUAUAUCAGUGUUGAGUAUAAUUUAAAGACUAUCGGAGUGGCUACUGAUUGCAAAUCAAAUUUUCAGGCACGUUCUGUUCCUAUACUGUCUGCUGUCAAAAAUAGAUAUUAUAAGGUUACUGAUGGGGCUUUGCGGGCGUGCGGAGAGACAACCUCGGUUGUUUUUAGACCAUACAACUCUAUGUGGUCGAUUACAACAUGCUUUGGGAUUGAUUUCAAAAAAAAAAACAAAAAACAAAUGCAUAAAUAUGAGAAAGAAGCUAAAGAAAAGGUCAGUUCAAUUAUUCAGAUUGCUAGCACAUCUCAGCCUGUACUUCUGGCCGUGUCUUCUAAGUCUUGCCAUUGUAAGCAACAAUUGCAUGCAUAUUUUUUUCAGUUGUUUACAUGUAGAUAAUUGCCUCCAAUCAGAAGAGAAUUAAUAUGUUUGAUCAUUGAGUUUUCAUUUGCACCCUAUCA